This 301-nucleotide ribosomal RNA is filed under the name uncultured bacterium. Its description in RNAcentral is "partial 16S ribosomal RNA". It matches the Rfam family "Bacterial small subunit ribosomal RNA", at positions 509 to 807 of the family's 1533-position model. The record is from RNAcentral.
CAGCAGCCGCGGUAAAACGAAGGGUGCAAGCGUUACUCGGAAUUACUGGGCGUAAAGCGUGCGUAGGUGGUGGUUUAAGUCCGUUGUGAAAGCCCUGGGCUCAACCUGGGAAUUGCAGUGGAUACUGAGCAACUAGAGUAAGGUAGAGGAUAGUGGAAUUUCCGGUGUAGCAGUGAAAUGCGUAGAGAUCGGAAGGAACAUCUGUGGCGAAGGCGACUAUCUGGGCCAUUACUGACACUGAGGCACGAAAGCGUGGGGAGCAAACAGGAUUAGAUACCCCCGUAGUCCCUGUCUCUUAUAC